UGAGAGGGGGUCCGUUUCUGUCUUUGGUUAUCUAGCUGUAUGAGUGUUAAAUACCUGUCAUAAAGCUAGAUAACCGAAAGUAGGAAUGACUCCCAUAACCUAUAAAUCUCUCAGGCUUCGAACGCACCGUGGCGGAUUUUGACCCUCAGAAGGCUCCUGAUGAUCGUUGAGAGAUGUGGGAUUCCUGAAAAGAGCCACUAUUAACAGAUAACAAGGAGAGAGAGGGGGGGGAAGAAAAAAAAAAACGGUUGGUCCGGAAUCGCCUCCCCCAACCCCCACCUCCCCCUUCCUCCUCCUCCUCCUCCUCCCACCCUCACCCUUUUUCACCCACGAGCCUCUGAUGCCAUCUGUACUGCCAAUGGAGACGCUCUGCCUGUGCCAGGAGGCGGACAAAGACCCCGCCGGUUCCCUGGAGUACGGGCGCGCUCACAGGAGCCAUCUUGGGAGAUGUUUGCCGCGACACCUAAAAUGGCUGGGCUGGCAUACGAGGAUGAAAGAGAAACUAUGAACAUCUCUGCCACCUCUCUGUAGGACUUCAUGGACCAAAGUCUGCA
Molecule: long non-coding RNA, 554 nt
Organism: Salarias fasciatus (jewelled blenny)
Lineage: Eukaryota; Metazoa; Chordata; Actinopteri; Blenniiformes; Blenniidae
Exons: 3
Source: RefSeq, a predicted model, not a curated record